AGUAGUUUGAUUAUGGCUCAGGAUGAACGCUGGCGGCGUGCUUAACACAUGCAAGUUGCGCGGUGAUCUCAAGAAGUUUCGGACGGAAAGGGAGAGCAGCAGCGGACGGGUGAGUAAAGCACAAGGACUUGUCCCGAAGAGGGGGACAACUGUGGGAAACCACAGCUAAUACCCCAUAAGCCGAGAGGUGAAAGCAGUAAUGCGCUUUAGGAGAGACUUGUGUCCUAUCAGGUAGUUGGUGAGGUAACGGCUCACCAAGCCGAAGACGGGUAGCCGGACUGAGAGGUUGUACGGCCACAUUGGAACUGAGAGACGGUCCAGACUCCUACGGGAGGCAGCAGUGGGGAAUAUUGGGCAAUGGGGGCAACCCUGACCCAGCGACGCCGCGUGAGGGAAGACAGCCUUCGGGUUGUAAACCUCUGUUGCAGGGGAAGAAGAAAGUGACGGUACCCUGCGAGGAAGCUCCGGCAAACUACGUGCCAGCCGCCGC
Molecule: ribosomal RNA, 490 nt
Filed under: uncultured bacterium
Lineage: Bacteria
Description: bacterial SSU rRNA
Rfam family: Bacterial small subunit ribosomal RNA
Source: RNAcentral